Long non-coding RNA from Piliocolobus tephrosceles (Ugandan red Colobus), 1606 nucleotides. The record is from Ensembl. NCBI's taxonomy places the organism in Eukaryota, Metazoa, Chordata, Mammalia, Primates, Cercopithecidae.
AAUGGAUUAGAAAAUGGAUUAGAAAAUGGAUCGGAAAAUGGAUUAGAAAAUGGAUUAGAAAAUGGAUUAGAAAAUGGAUCGGAAAAUGGAUUAGAAAAUGAAUUAGAAAAUGGAUUAGAAAAUGGAUCGGAAAAUGGAUCGGAAAAUGGAUCGGAAAAUGGAUUAGAAAAUGGAUUAGAAAAUGGAUCGGAAAAUAGAUCGGAAAAUGGAUUAGAAAAUGGAUUAGAAAAUGGAUCGGAAAAUGGAUCGGAAAAUGGAUCGGAAAAUGGAUCGGAAAAUGGAUUAGAAAAUGGAUUAGAAAAUGAAUUAGAAAAUGGAUUAGAAAAUGGAUUAGAAAAUGGAUCGGAAAAUGGAUUAGAAAAUGGAUUAGAAAAUGAAUUAGAAAAUGGAUUAGAAAAUGGAUUAGAAAAUGGAUCGGAAAAUGGAUUAGAAAAUGAAUUAGAAAAUGGAUUAGAAAAUGGAUUAGAAAAUAGAUCGGAAAAUGGAUCGACUAACAAAUGGGAUAACAAAUAUAAAAAUGAGUAUCUUAAAAAAUUAGAAAAAGAAUCAGGUGACAGACCUAAUUAUAUUUUACCAAAUAUAGACGGAAAUAACAUAAUAAAACUAAAUUUAAGAAUAAAAAAAAUAUAUUUCGUAAAACAUAAAAAUAUUAAAUGUGUUAUAACUAACAGUUCAGGUGUAGUUGUACAUUCAUUUAUUUAUAAUAAAAAUCCAAUCAAUUUAAAUGAAGAAGAUAAAUUUUUUAAAUUUUUUAAUAAAAAUAAAAUAAAUAAUAAUUCUUUUAAUCACGAUAACAUGACCAUUUUACUUAAAGAGAUAAAUAAAAUUUGGUUGAAUAAAAUUAAUUUCGACUUAUUUUUUAAUGCACCAAUCAUCAAUGGGGAGCCCGAUAUAUCACCAUCCACAUUUUUUAGGCUAAGUUUUUAUGGUGUGGAUACAGUGGAAUCAAAGCAAAACGAAGAUGAUGAAGAGCAAAAAAACGAACGAAUAAACAAAAAGACAGAUAUAAAUACAAAAAAUAAAAAAACAAAAUUAAUUAAAAACAUGUUAGAUACCAUAAAUAAAUUUCCUAAAACAAAUAAUUUAACUACUACUAACAAAAAAAAAUCAACGUAUAUAAAUAAAAGUGUACCCCACCAAAAUUCAUCAAGUAAAAAUAAAUUAAAUGAUGUGGGUAACACAAAAACAGUAACAAACAAAUCGAUAGAAAGAAACACAUAUAUUGGUUAUAGCAUCAUACACAUUAAGCAAUUAUAUGAAAUUCAAGAAGAAGGAGGAAUACAUUUAAACAUUUGUGAAAAACACAACGAAGAUAUAGAGUUUGUUAAAGAGUAUAAUAAAGAAGAAGUUGUAUAUAUUUUGGAUAAUAAACAAAUUGAAAAUGAUAGUAUUAAUAAACUAAAUGAAAAAAAUGGUUUUAAUAAUUUAAGUUAUGCUGAUAAAGUAGGUAUAAUUUUUAAAAAUUUAUUUCAUAAUAGUUUGAACCCUACAUCCAAAAAAAUAUUUUUUAAAUAUUCAUUUGAAAAAGGAAAUAAUAAUUUUAUAAAAAAACCAUGUUUAAAUAAGUGUACCACCACAAGUACCACCACAAGUACCACCACAAGUA